UACGUAGGGAGCAAGCGUUGUCCGGAUUUAUUGGGCGUAAAGAGCUCGUAGGCGGUUCUGUAAGUCGGGUGUGAAAACUUCAGGCUCAACCUGGAGAUGCCACUCGAUACUGCGGUGACUUGAGUCUGGUAGGGGAGCACGGAAUUCCUGGUGUAGCGGUGAAAUGCACAGAUAUCAGGAGGAGCACCGGUGGGCGAAGGCGGGUCUCUGGGCCGAUACUGACGCUGGAGGAGCGAAAGCGUGGGGAGCGAACAGG
RNAcentral lists this ribosomal RNA (256 nucleotides) under uncultured bacterium. RNAcentral's name for it is "partial 16S ribosomal RNA". It matches the Rfam family "Bacterial small subunit ribosomal RNA", at positions 524 to 776 of the family's 1533-position model. The record is from RNAcentral.